This is a long non-coding RNA of Passer domesticus (house sparrow), 729 nucleotides long. RefSeq lists it as uncharacterized. NCBI's taxonomy places the organism in Eukaryota, Metazoa, Chordata, Aves, Passeriformes, Passeridae. The record is from RefSeq and is a predicted model, not a curated record. The transcript is spliced from 2 exons.
CCACAAAUCCAUAAUGGUCUCUGGGUUCCAUGAAGCCCCACUGUGUCACCAUGGCCCCUUGGUUCCAUGGGCUCCAGUGGUGCCACAAGGAUCCCCUUGGUUCCAUGAGGUCCCCACAAUGUCACAGUGAUCUCCAUGGGAAGGAAAGAACCCAGCCCCAGGGUUGCAGGGGCAGUCACCAGAGGCCAAGUGUCAUAGGUUGACCAGGAAGUGAGUUUUCUUGGGAAGUUUAGCCAAACUAAUCAGUGGUCAGAUUUUAAUAUUGACACGUGUUGUAACCUCUGAAGCCAUGGACACGCCUCUGAGAACACAGAGGGUUAAAAGCAAAGAACUCCCAGAGGAACUCUCUCUUUUGUUCCGAGACUGCAUUUAGAGAGAUGCAAUGGCUUGAGCCAAGAGAGUGACCUAUUGCAGUGAUUGCCAGUGCAGGAGUGAGAGUGACCUGCUGCAGUGACACCAUGUGAGGAGUGAGAGUGACCUGCUGCAGUGACACCAUGUGAGGAGUGAGAGUGACCUGCUGCAGUGACACCAUGUGCAGGAGUGAAGUGAACGGAGAAAGAUGAGGAGGGUAUGGUGGUGCCCUCUGUCUUCAGGAAAGAAGAAGAUCUCUGUUCUCAAGACCCUCGGUCCCAGGGGAGGUGAAAACGGGGGGGACUGUUGUCCCAAAAUAAGAAAAACUGUCAUUCUUUGGUACUUGGGAAAGCAUCAUUAAAAGGAACCCUCAAAGCA